ACUGAGACACGGCCCAGACUCCUACGGGAGGCAGCAGUCGGGAAUCUUGGGCAAUGGGCGGAAGCCUGACCCAGCGACGCCGCGUGGGGGAAGAAGGCCUUCGGGUCGUAAACCCCUGUUGCCUGGGACGAACGGCCAUGGGAGGAAAUGCCCAUGGUUUGACGGUACCGGGCGAGGAAGCCACGGCCAACUACGUGCCAGCAGCCGCGGUAAUACGUAGGUGGCGAGCGUUGUCCGGAAUGACUGGGCGUAAAGGGCGUGUAGGCGGCCUGGUAAGCGGUGGGUGAAAGACCGGAGCUCAACUUCGGGGGUGCCCAUCGGACUGCCGGGCUUGAGUGGGUCAGAGGGCAGCGGAAUUCCCGGUGUAGCGGUGAAAUGCGUAGAGAUCGGGAGGAACACCAGUGGCGAAGGCGGCUGCCUGGGGCCCAACUGACGCUGAGGCGCGAAAGCUGGGGGAGCAAACAGGAUUAGAUACCCUGGUAGUCCCAGCCGUAAACGAUGAGCGCUACGUGUGAGGGGUAUCGACCCCCCUCGUGCGGAAGCAAACGCAUUAAGCGCUCCGCCUGGGGAGUACGGCCGCAAGGCUGAAACUCAAAGGAAUUGACGGGGGCCCGCACAAGCGGUGGAGCAUGUGGUUUAAUUCGAAGCAACGCGUAGAACCUUACCUGGGCUUGACAUGCCGGUGGUAGGAGGCCGAAAGGCUGACGACCCAGGCUUAGGUCUGGGAGCCGGCACA
RNAcentral lists this non-coding RNA (736 nucleotides) under Symbiobacterium thermophilum. Its description in RNAcentral is "bacterial SSU rRNA". It matches the Rfam family "Bacterial small subunit ribosomal RNA", at positions 318 to 1036 of the family's 1533-position model. Lineage: Bacteria; Bacillati; Bacillota; Clostridia; Eubacteriales; Symbiobacteriaceae. The record is from RNAcentral.